UACAGAGGUCUCAAGCGUUGUUCGGAUUCAUUGGGCGUAAAGGGUGCGUAGGUGGCGUGGUAAGUCUGGUGUGAAAUCCCGGGGCUCAACCCCGGAACUGCACUGGAUACUGCCAUGCUUGAGUACUGGAGAGGAGAUUGGAAUUUACGGUGUAGCAGUGAAAUGCGUAGAUAUCGUAAGGAAGACCAGUGGCGAAGGCGAAUCUCUUGACAGUUACUGACACUGAGGCACGAAGGCCAGGGGAGCAAACGGG
Molecule: ribosomal RNA, 253 nt
Filed under: uncultured bacterium
Lineage: Bacteria
Description: partial 16S ribosomal RNA
Rfam family: Bacterial small subunit ribosomal RNA
Source: RNAcentral